GCUACUCGAGGUAGACAAGGUUCUCUACACGCAACGUAAGUUGUUAUCAGGGAUGAAGGGUUGACCGUCCUUCCGGAUAGC
RNAcentral lists this non-coding RNA (81 nucleotides) under unclassified sequences. Its description in RNAcentral is "skipping-rope RNA". It matches the Rfam family "skipping-rope RNA". From Rfam's summary of the family: Firmicutes, Fusobacteria, AlphaProteobacteria, Spirochaetes. The record is from Rfam by way of RNAcentral.